RNAcentral lists this long non-coding RNA (1454 nucleotides) under Marmota monax (woodchuck). Lineage: Eukaryota; Metazoa; Chordata; Mammalia; Rodentia; Sciuridae. The record is from RNAcentral.
CUGGGUGGCAGGGGCUGGCUCUCCAUUGUCCAGAACCUGCAAAGCUGGCUCUCUGGGCUCCCUUCUUCUAGGGUGGCCUCAGGGGAGUCCUGUUCUGCCUCCCCAGGGGAGGUCCCAUGUUCCGGGAGAGCCCUGGCUCAUCAGGAGUGCCCUGGCGGCCUCUCCAGGGCUGAGGCACAGUGGACAACUGUGGAUAGCAGGGCGGAACAGCUGGUGGUCAGGAGACUGACACGGCCGCACUGAGCCCUGCCGGAGCUGGCCUGAGCAUCCCUGCAGCCUGGGAGUGUCCAGGGACCGCACCCAUCGGCCCGCCUUGCGGGAAGGGCGCUGGGAGAGUGGCCAGCUCUCUGGAGGCCUGGCGGCAGGGAGACGGGGGCAGAGUGGAAGCUGGGGUGAGGUAUGAAGCUCCAGAGGUGCUGGCCUGAGCCGAGCCCCAGGACACAGCGCGUGGCAGGCCGGGGGUGUGCGAGUGCCGGAGGGGGUGGGGACGAGGAGGACUGUGCUUCCCCCUUCAGUGGACUCUCCGUUUCAGUAAGUUUUGGAUUCGUGGAGUUAUUGAUAGGGACUCCCCCCCCCCCACUCAUCCUGCUCAGCAUCUCACCUGGCGAGGGACGAGGGGCGCGGGGCGCAGAGCCAGCUUGGCUGUGCUGACAUGGGGUCCACCACCAAAGCCCACACCUGCUCAGACCCCUCAGCUUUGCCUGCGGCCCUCUUCUGCUUUGGCACUGCACUGAGGACAGGAGGGAAGGUCCCAUGUCCCAGGAGAGCCCUGGUCGGUUCCCAGGCAGCCCCAGAGGGAAGAGUGGGCCAACCGCAGCCUCUGACCCUGGCACCCAGGACCACGCCACACACAUCCCUUGUGUCUGGCUUUUCCUCUCUACUUGUGUCCACCCCUGAGAUGUGGCCAUGCUGGUGCAGAGAGCAGAAGGAACUUCGCUGAGGAAUGCUCCAAGCAUGUGGACAUAACACAAGGAGCGUGUGUGUGCCCACAACCUGCAUGAGCACAUCUUGAUCUCUCAGCACCUGGACCUCACCCGUGUGGCCUGUCCGGGCUCAUACUUCUCUGGCCUCCAGCAGCUGCAGGGGACCCUUGCUGCUCUCAACAUGGGCUUUUCCUGUUUGCACAUGCCCCUACCUACAGGCCUUCUCCACAAGAAGGAGGGUGACCUUUGAAAUGGCCCCAGAGCCUGGCCCUGUGUGCUGUCUGCUUUCCGGCUGGGCAGCUGUGUGCGAGGUGCAUCGGCCGUUGCUGAGGCAGCUCUGAGUUGCUCUGUUUCGAGCCUCGCUGGGUGGGUGCACGGGUCCCUGUGGAAUUGACCUAGGUGUGGGGUCCCGGGCUGCCUGCCUGCCUGCUCAGCCUGCGGCAUUUCCACCAAGUCAUGUACCCACUUCCCUGCGUCCUUGCUGUUGCAACGGCUGGUGCGGAGCUCCCACUGGCAUGUCAGGAAUGAAAC